This 104-nucleotide small nuclear RNA is filed under the name Jaculus jaculus (lesser Egyptian jerboa). The record is from RNAcentral. Lineage: Eukaryota; Metazoa; Chordata; Mammalia; Rodentia; Dipodidae.
GUACUUGCUUCAGCAACACAUAUAUUAAAAUUGGAACAAUACAGAGAUUAGCAUGGCCCCUACACAAGGAUGACACACACGUUAGUGAAGUGUUCCAUGUUUUU